AACGAACGCUGGCGGCAGGCCUAACACAUGCAAGUCGAACGCCGUAGCAAUACGGAGUGGCAGACGGGUGAGUAACACGUGGGAACGUACCCUUCGGUUCGGGAGUAACUCAGGGAAACUUGAGCUAAUACCGGAUACGUCCGAGAGGAGAAAGAUUUAUUGCCGAGGGAUCGGCCCGCGUCUGAUUAGCUUGUUGGUGAGGUAACGGCUCACCAAGGCGACGAUCAGUAGCUGGUCNGAGAGGAUGAUCAGCCACAUUGGGACUGAGACACGGCCCAAA
This 280-nucleotide ribosomal RNA is filed under the name uncultured bacterium. Its description in RNAcentral is "partial 16S ribosomal RNA". It matches the Rfam family "Bacterial small subunit ribosomal RNA", at positions 29 to 335 of the family's 1533-position model. The record is from RNAcentral.